AAACGCUGUACAAAAUAUCGCUGUAUAAGAGGUGCUGUAUAAUUUUUUGAACAGCACAUGUUUAAGCUUUGAUAAAUAUCGGUAUAAAACACGGCGAAUUGACCUGUUUAAGGUCCGUAGACAGAAGGCUUGAACAGGGGGUUGUACAAGAUACCGGCACAUGUAAAGCGCAUGCGUACGCGUGCGCAGUGCUAUGCUAGUGGUCGGAAGAUGGCGUUGAGUAUGUUCGACUCGGAGACUGCUGCAGUGCACUGGAAAAAUCGUGUUUAAUCUCCGUUUUAGAAAAUGAAAGAUUUGGGGUGACAAACCUGCUUCAGGAGUGGGACUUCCCACAUUUAGUUCCAAUCUUUAGAGGUAAAUUCAGUGCUUGAUUUCGAGUGAAUGUUCAUGAAUAAUCUCAAAAGUCAAUGCAUUGUUACCGUUGUUGCAGUGGUUUUAUUGUGUGUGCAUGUACGUGUGUAUUUCUAUAUGAUGGUCGCCAAGUCAGAAAUAUAUAGGCCUAUGAUUUUAUUGGAAAAACCUCGGCUCGGCCGGCAGUCAUUUUGAGAUUGAAAAAAAAAUGGUGCCCCAGUCUGCGCACCCAUUCACUUUUGCACGUGAUUUGGAGAUUUUGAUGAGAAAGGCUGCAUUUUGAGGCUGUCAUAGGGUUAUUUUUCCACCUUUGUGAUCUGAGUCGGAUUUUGCAAUAAAUAUCUGUCUAUGCAUUAGAUGUGUAAAGUUUGCAUUGCGUAUCUUAUAGAUUCUACUAGAAUUGCGCAGAUACGCAUGUGCGCAGACUAUGGUACCUUGAGCGAAGUUCGUGCAGGAUCCACUCGUACUCCACUUAAUUACCACUAGGGCCUACACCAUGCUCCACUUACACGAACUUCGAGACCAUGAACUCGAUCUGAUAUUCUGAGUGACAAAAGGUGGGAUUUUAUGGGGGUGAAAUAUGAAAUUCAUGCAACAUCACGAUCUUUACACAAAGUUUCACUUCUUUCCAUGCUUCUAUUAGUAUUAGUCUCAAAAUUGGUGAUUUGAAUUAUAGCCUACAUGAACUGUGAUGAAGAUCCUCACACAUAAAUAAUUCACUGCCGAUGAUCGCAUGCGGAUGCGAUAUAUGCGCGAGGUACCGGGUCCGGUACAAGCUCGGACCGGGCCGUCCUCAAGCACAUAGCCUACGUGUAAUGUAGGCCUGGCUAGAUCUAUUUCUAGUCAACUUUAUUCAAUUUUGUACGUCUACAUAUGUGUAUGUUAAACCCCAUUAAAAUCUAGGUCUAUACUAUAGGUCCAAACCUAGAUCUAAAUCCUGGCCUAGCUUGGCCAAUAGUCCCUUAUUAUUGGCCAGCCUAGCGAGGAAAGGCCUACAUGCAAAUAGCAACAGAUCUAAAUGUUACAUUGUAAUUGCAGAUGUAUGUACAGUUUGUGAAUGAUCAGAAACUAAUUUUGAAUCUGAGAUACAGGAAUUACAUUUAGGUUGACUUCAUGUAAAUUCCCCACUGUGCAGUAGGGAAUUUUUUAUUGAGAAUUUCUACAAUUUAUCCACUUAUUCCAUCAGUUCUCUAUAGAAUAGUCAGAUAACUUGUGUAAUAAUUAAUGUUACUAUUCUUGAUCUUUGAUUCAUGUUUAUCACAGUUAAAUGUUGCAGAAGAUGAGCAUGAAGUCACCUACUGGAUGCAAUAUUACUCAUCACCUGACAACAUUGUUGUUAAUGUGACGAACCUCGGUACUGAGAUACGAGUUGACUAUAGGAAACCCGCGACCAAGCACAGCAGAAAUUCUUGACAAAUAUCUACAGCUUUUGGGAAUGAUUGAUCAAGACUUUGAUUUAACAAUUGAUGCAGCUCCUGGUGCCCUUUUCACAAUGUGGCCAAAGUUGUCCAGGCAGACUUUGGAAUUUGCGGAGAAGAUUAAUCCAGGGUAUAGAAAGAUCCUAGGGGCUGGAGUGGACCAGAAAAUGACGCAGAGUCAACAAUGAAGAAAAUUUGGCUUUCAGUACUUCCUGGGAUUUUGAUCGGCAGAACGAAAGGGGAAUGAGGCAAAUUAAAUGUGCCGUACUUCAAAGUCUUGAAUCUUUCAUCAAUCUCCAAUUAGAAGGAGCAUGAAGAAAAAGAAGAUGAACAGGAAUUGACAAUGGCGCGUUCCAUACCUGGGAGUGAUUGCACAGUGGCACCCUUGGACCUAAUUUCACCCUGACAUCAAGUCUGUUUUAAGGAGAACCAUGAGAGAAAUUAAUAAAUUAAAGUUUGCCGAAUAUCAAAGAAUAACAGAGUUAUGAGGCUUCAAAGUUUUAAAUUUGUGACAUGACAUGCGAGCAGCUCCCAAUAUGUCAAUCAUGUAAUAUAAAUUCCAUAAAUUGCCAUUUUUAAUGGUUUUCAUGAUAAUUAAAUGGGUUUUUAUCAGAAGCUUGUAUGAAAUAAUGUUUCUGAUAACAUUGAAUCCACAGGUAAAAUCAUUUUCCAAUUUCCCUAGAAAAGGCACUUGUAUAGAAUUGAUAUCACAUAAAAUAUGGGGAGCUGCUCGCAUGUGAAGUCACAAAUUUAAAACUUCAUAACUCUUAUUCUUGGUGGAUUUUCACCAACUAACAUGCAAUGUCAGGAUGAACCUUGCCUUUAAACCUUGUAUUGGCAGCCUUUCAUUGACAUUUACAUACAGUAUUUUAGGUUUUGUGAGCAAGUAUAUGAAAAAGGUGCUAAUUAACACCUACUUCCCCUUCUUAACCCUAACCAGGCCGGGGGGGGGGUUAAAACAACCUUCCCCCAACAUUAUCUGCGAUCAUUCCUCCGCGGGAGAUUUGUUGACCCUGCCACUCUCAGAGUUUAUACUAAGUCUCGCGCAUCUUUUGAGACCAAAUUUACGAUGCCCAGGUACGUUGUCCCGAAAUUAUGCAACAUUUCGUAAGU
Lytechinus variegatus (green sea urchin) is the source of this 2882-nucleotide long non-coding RNA. RefSeq lists it as uncharacterized. Lineage: Eukaryota; Metazoa; Echinodermata; Echinoidea; Temnopleuroida; Toxopneustidae. The record is from RefSeq and is a predicted model, not a curated record. The transcript is spliced from 4 exons.